This is a long non-coding RNA of Onychostoma macrolepis, 613 nucleotides long. RefSeq lists it as uncharacterized. The transcript is spliced from 4 exons. The record is from RefSeq and is a predicted model, not a curated record. Lineage: Eukaryota; Metazoa; Chordata; Actinopteri; Cypriniformes; Cyprinidae.
CAUUUUGCACCAAUGUAUUGGUCGUAGAACUACAAAAUGAGUUUCAAAUUCGCGAUUUAAAGAAAGAUUUUAAGAGGUUUAUGAAUGCUGCAUGACUGUGACGUGUUUAAACGGACUCGCGUGCUGAAUUCGCGCGCUCAUUCAAACGCUGCAGCGGAGGGAGUUUCCAUGGAAACGGUGCGCAACACUGUAACUGACGAACAGUAAAUCUCCGUCUCUCGCUGCUGUUUUCACUGCUUUCAGAUGAGUUUAGUCCCUAAAAUCACACAAAUAUCACACACAACUUCCAGACACUUUCUUACAUGUAACUGACAUGUUUCUGUUGAAUAUUUACUUCACAGAAAUGUUUUACAGUCUUCGAAAAAGUCCGCUAGCAUCUGUUUUCAGACGAGGAGUGAUAAUAUAAUCUUUCUACAAAGGAAGAGAAGCUCCAAGAUUUCAAAAUUUCUGAAGGGAGCUGCUGACAGAAAUGCAGGAAACACAGAUUAUGAUGGCCGUGCAGCAGAGGAGCGCAGAGUCUCCUGUCGGACAACAUCUCUAAGUCGCUAUGAACCAUGUGACUAGAUGCUAUGUACCCAGCCUCAACCAUUCAGCAGAAGGACUGUGAAAGCGG